Molecule: transfer RNA, 76 nt
Filed under: candidate division CPR1 bacterium ADurb.Bin160
Lineage: Bacteria; candidate division CPR1
Description: tRNA-His
Rfam family: tRNA
About the family: Transfer RNA (tRNA) molecules are approximately 80 nucleotides in length. Their secondary structure includes four short double-helical elements and three loops (D, anti-codon, and T loops).
Source: RNAcentral
GCGAUCGUAGCUCAGUUGGUAGAGCAAUGGACUGUGACUCCAUGUGUCGCGGGUUCGAUCCCCGUCGAUCGCCCCA